AUAACACAGUGUGUCCAAGAGGGUUUUGUCAAUGGGGGGUGUGUGUGUGUGUGUGUGUGUAUAUAUAUAUAUAUAUAUAUACACACACACACACACACACACACGUGCGCGUAUACAUAUGUGUGUGUAUAUAUAUAUAUAUAUAUCCCAUAUUUUAAAAUAGCAACAGGGAAAAUGAUUGGUAAAACUUGAAAAGUGC
Non-coding RNA from Podarcis lilfordi (Lilford's wall lizard), 199 nucleotides. Lineage: Eukaryota; Metazoa; Chordata; Lepidosauria; Squamata; Lacertidae. The record is from the annotation of a GenBank genome assembly.